AGCWUGAUGACAAUAUUUUAGGUGACUUCUGCCCAGCGUAUUAUUAGCGGCCGCAGUACCUUGACUGUGCUAAGGUAGCAUAAUCAAUUGACUUUUAAUUGAAGUCUGGAAUGAAAGGAUAAAUGAUGUGAAUCUGUCUCUUUAUUGUUUUUUUGAAUUUGUUUAAUAAGUGAAAAUACUUAUACUUAGAAAAAAGACGAGAAGACCCUUAGAAUUUUGAGGAAAAAGUAUUAUCUUUUAAUUUUUGUUGGGGCGACACUGAAACAAUUAAACUUUCUUUGAGUUACAAGACAUUUAGUGAUGAAAGAAAAAAUUACCUUAGGGAUAACAGCAUAAUAAAAUUUUUGUUUGUGACCUCGAUGUUGGACUAGGAACUAUAUAACUAACCGUUAAAAUAGAUUGUUCUGUUCGAACAAAWUCUCCU
RNAcentral lists this ribosomal RNA (424 nucleotides) under Lanx patelloides. RNAcentral describes it as "partial 16S ribosomal RNA". It matches the Rfam family "Bacterial large subunit ribosomal RNA", at positions 1828 to 2596 of the family's 2925-position model. Lineage: Eukaryota; Metazoa; Mollusca; Gastropoda; Lymnaeidae. The record is from RNAcentral.